This is an RNA transcript of Zea mays, 3549 nucleotides long. RefSeq lists it as uncharacterized. NCBI's taxonomy places the organism in Eukaryota, Viridiplantae, Streptophyta, Magnoliopsida, Poales, Poaceae. The record is from RefSeq and is a predicted model, not a curated record. The transcript has 3 exons.
UUCUUCCUCCUGUCUUCUCGCUCCCGUCGACCCGACAGCCUACAACCCAGCAGGCGCCACGAGCCUUACCCCCUUGCUCUCUCCACCCACCCCUCCCCAUCAAACGGUGCUGGGCGUCCUAGGUUGCCUCGCCCUUCACCCGUCGUGAGUUUGACACUCUCCCUCCCGGACCUCUCGUCCCUGCCGUUGCCCCUGCUGGCCCACCUUGCCCUGGGGCACGACCACCGACUCACUUUGCCGCCGAUCCAUACGCCGGUUCAUGUCCGACCAACGACCGCUACCCUCCUCGGAUCCCGUCCACCGCCCUCCCCGCAUCCUGGCCGGCCGCUGCUCUCCCGCCGCAGGCUCCCGUUCGGCGGCCCGCGCUCCCCGCGAACGGCGGCUGGCAGCAAGCCGCUGGCGGCGCACGACAUCUCCACGUCCAUGUGGCACGACACACGUCUCUGGGACGUGCUGCUCCGAUGCGGUAUCAAGGGUGCCGCGGACAGCGUCACCAACGUGUGAUUUGUGGCGCCGAGGACCUCCCCGGUGGGGUCGACGACAACUGCAAGUACGACACCAGCCUGCAACGCAUCUCGGAUCUCGGAUUUUUUGCCACCAAUCAGCAAGAGCGGCAGGAGGGAGCAGAGCUGGAGAUGGGGCGGUGCUGGUGCUGCUGCCGGUGCCUAAAGCUGCUCUGCUUGGUUCUCCUCCCACCGAUCAGCUUGUGCCUCGGCCGCAGCUGCUGCUCCAAUCUGUCCCCAUUCUCAUCGUCGAAGAUCUGCUCUGUCUUCUAUGGUGCCUAGAGUCAGCCUUCAGGGAGAGACCGCUCCCGCAGGCCAAGAAGUCGUGGGGCUCCGAGAUUGCCAGUAGCGGUGGCCGGAGCUCCUCCGAUGUUUCCACACCAUAUGCUACAACGUUUUGUGCUUCCACGCCGGAUGCCACAAUAGACAAGCUGAGGAAGAAAGGUUAAAAUUGUUGAGACAAAGGAUAUAUGUACCAUAUCACUGCUCCUCUAUCAAGCAUCGGGUUCUCAUUCUGUAUAUAGUUUUACCAUUAUUACAUCCAUUUUCCUUAUCAAAUGAAUAUCCAUUUUAUCCCUAGGAAGAAUGGGAUAAAUGUUAUUAAUUAGGUACGUGAUAUUCGUGAAAGGCACUGUGACUUUACUAUAUGAAUAUGCUCAAAUCACUUUAACAUAAAACUCUUUAUAUAACAGAUGGUAACAGAACUGUUACUUAUAUUUCCUCCAACCAUUCUAGACGAUUUACCCUACAAUCUUUCAGUUCCUUCAUUAAUACUUUUCUUUUCAAUUCAUGCCUGAUUUCCUAUACAACACACAAAUGACUAUAUGUACUAAGGAUAGAAAUAAAACUGCUACUUAUGUUUUAUAGCUCCACCUAGUUUAGAAUCAUAGAUUUUCCUCCCUGUGCAAGCAUUAUAUUAUUGUUUUUUUGGAUUGGUUAACUAACAGUUCUCGAUGAGUAUUUGCUGCAACCACUGUUGUUCUUUUUCCUUUUUAAUCUAUUCAAGGAUUGCUAGUGGCCGAAGGGCACUGCCACCUUCUUUUGCUUUUACGUGAUGCAAGGCCAUUGUUAUGUAUUCCAUGUUUAUUAUUACUUCGAACAUGGCUAGAAUACAAUGGUUCAGCAUCAGCUUAAUCCAUGGAAGGUAUGGGGUUGGAUUGUCCUCAGCUGUUUAUUAAUCCUGUAGCACGUCAUUUACUGACUAUUGUGUUUAAAUGGGGAAGGAUGAUGGAGAUACAAUAAGCACGAAAGUCAUUAUUAAUUUUAGCCUUGGCGCUAUAUGUUUGUUAGCCGAGGUUACAUUGUUCUUCUUUUGGAAUAGACAAAAAAAUGAGAGCCUUCACUGUUGUUUAUUUAGUAGAGGUUGAGAUCGUAUUUCAAAUUAUUAAGAACACUACUGUUUUAGAUUCUUUCAAAUAUUCAUACGUUUGAAAAAACUCGCAUUCUCCAUGAUUUUUUGGUCAUAGAGAAUGUAAUAAAAUUUUGGUAAAUAGCAUUGAUACUCACAUACUAUAUUAUUUUCCUUUGUGUUGAGGAUUAAUGCAACCACAGUGUUGUGGUUUGAACACUAAUCGAGAAGGCCUCUUUACUGUUGUCUAGAUCUGUUAUAAUUUUCAUUUACAUGCUUCCAUACACUUUAAUAUUAGUAAUACAAUUGUAGUUAGCAGAUUAAAAACUUAGUUAAACAUAUGUGUACUCACGUAUUUAUUGUUUUUCUGUACAUCAAGGAUUCCCAUGGACAUGUGGUUGUCCAUUGCACAUAUAUUGAUAGGAAUGUUCAGCUCCUUUUUAGACAGGAUCAAGAAAAAUGUCCCUUCCAAUGAAAGUAAUAGGUCAACAUGUCUUGAUUUCACCAGGUGCCGUUGCUCAAGUUGCAGCCGGAGGUUGCAGCUACACAGGACACAAAUUCAGGUGCAUUUUACACCUACAUAUCUUCCUACAAACAUGUUUUUUCUCCUAACAUUUUGUAUGUUACCGUAAAAUUACUUUGUACACUAUAGAUAUAAACGGUUUCAUCUCAGAUGACACAACAACUGAAAUAUUUUGCUUUGACAACAUUGCUAAACAUAUUCUUGGAAAACCUUAUGAACCCUGAUGUUGUGAACACCUUUAUGCAGUAGAUAGCUAAUGUAUUUUUAUGAUAUUAAUUAUGCCCCUAGGACAUGUUGCUACAACAGACCCUUCUGCGUGUAAGUAUAGGACUAUAGGUGAUAGGUUGAUAUCUCAGGCUACCAACCAACAAACUUUCUAGAAACGUACUUAUGCUGGUGAGUACAAUGCUGCUUGGAACAUGUUGAACUAAUAUGGUUAAUAUAUUUUUUAUGGCUUUUGUUGUACUCGAUUAUACAAGCCUACAUAUAUUGCAUCAUUAGUACAAGCAAAUCUUCUAUACAUGGGCUUCUACCUGCCAACUCUUUUCUAUUGACUUUACACUAUGAGUUUCAUGAUAACUUACUUAUCAUGUUUCUUACAUACAUAUACUGAGUUUUAUAUUAACUUAUAUAUAUCAUGUUUCUGUAUAUUUUAAGGUCCUGCAAUCUAAUUUGACAUCGCACAUCGCGCGCUGGACGCGCGACAUACACUAGUAAUACAAUCCAUAUUCCUUUGUUUUCAAUUUUAUGACCUUAUCACUAGGUGCAUCAUAGUCAUACGAGCCAGCUUGCAGUUUUCUGCGUGGUUCAUCAUGCACCUUCUCACUCGAUUAAUUUUGUGCCGACAGAAAAAUGGUUGUGGCUCUUAUGUUUCAGUGUUUCUAAGUAGAUAAAAGUAGUAAUGGAUGAACGAAGAGGGACAUAACAGAUGGUGUCCUGAUACGCACUUAUCUUAUCGAGGAAGAAAAGAUUCAGGACAGGACGAAUAGAGGAGAGCAGUGUGAGGUGAGCUCGAGGAUCCAACUCUGUCUCCACGAUCGCUAGGUGUGAAAUUCUCGGGGGUGUGGUGAGAGUGAGGAGCAUCCAGCUCUUUAUCUCCACCUGCUGCUGGUGUGAGUGUGACACUGAUGAUGAUGGGGUAACUGUUUUCAAGUCGUUCGAAUAAUCACGAUUAA